Bos taurus (domestic cattle) is the source of this 860-nucleotide long non-coding RNA. The record is from Ensembl. NCBI's taxonomy places the organism in Eukaryota, Metazoa, Chordata, Mammalia, Artiodactyla, Bovidae.
UGCUGCCAUGUCUGACACUGGGACUGGGGUACAUACAGCAGGGGCUCUGCUAAAGACUGUUGAAUGAAUAAAUGCGUGAGGCCUCAGUGGGCCUGAAGGUAUUAGCUAAACUUUCUACCCAUCAGGGUCUCAGGAUUCUGGGGCUAUGACCACUGCCACUACUAACAAUUUCUUCCACCAGCAGAAUAAGUAGCUCCCAAUUACUGAGCAUUUAGCGUGUGCCAGGCAUCGGGGUAAGCAUUUCUCUGUGCCAUCUUGCUCCCACCUUUCACCCAUCCUAUGGGGUGGGUGUUCUGUGAGUGUCCUCAUAUCACAGGUGGGGAAAUGAGCUCCACCGGGAGCCGUGGUAGAACCUGCACUGGCCCAUCAGAGCUCACAGCCUUUUUCCACGCCAAGUGAGGGUGGGUGGUUGGAGCCCAGAACAGGGGGCACCUGUCAUCCCUUCCAGAAUUUGCCUUUUUCCAUUGCCUCCCUGUAGAACUUCUCUCCUCCCUUGAAGACUUUGCUUCUCCUAGAACCUCUCUCAGACUCAUCAGUCUCCUUCCCAAGUUCCGUGCAACCUGGAAAUCCUUUCCCUGGAAGAUGCUGGGUCUUCAUCUGCUCCCACGUCUGGAGAGGCAACAACCGAGGCUCAGAAGUCAGCUGCUGGGCUGGGAGAUGGCAUCAGGCCUUCUGAUGGGGGAGCGCGCCCAGAGUCAGGGGGCGCAGCUGGGACGGGGGCGCAGGGCCGCGAGUGGGCGUCCGCGUCAUCGCCUCCGCCGCAGGGCGCGGAGCCCGGGUCUCUGCAGCGAGCGCGCCAGGUGAGUGGGUGUCGAGGAACCGCCAGGCAGCGGAGAAAACAGGACGCCGCAGAAAUCAGA